RNAcentral lists this ribosomal RNA (778 nucleotides) under Geomys bursarius (Plains pocket gopher). RNAcentral's name for it is "partial 12S ribosomal RNA". It matches the Rfam family "Bacterial small subunit ribosomal RNA", at positions 321 to 1364 of the family's 1533-position model. The record is from RNAcentral. Lineage: Eukaryota; Metazoa; Chordata; Mammalia; Rodentia; Geomyidae.
GCAAAUAUCCGUACCCCGGUGAGUUUUGCCCUGAAUUUCCGCAAGCUGGGAAAAAAAGGAGCAGGUAUAAAGCACACUAAAACUAAAUCAGUAGCUAAAAACAUCAAGUCUGACCACACCCCCACGGGAUACAGCAGUGAUAAAAAUUAAGCAAUAAACGAAAGUUUGACUAAGUAAUACUAAUCUAGGGUUGGUAAAUUUCGUGCCAGCCACCGCGGUCAUACGAUUAACCCUAGUUAAUACAAAACGGCGUAAAGAGUGCUAAUACCCUUAAUCAGGUAAAACUAAAGUCUAAUUAAGCUGUAGAAAGCACCAAUUAGAGCGAAAAUAAACCACGAAGGUGAUUUUAUCAACACUGCAGCACUAAAGCUAUAGAACAAACUGGGAUUAGAUACCCCACUAUGUAUAGCCGUAAACUUAAAUAGAUUAAAUAACAAAUCUAUUCGCCUGAGGACUACAAGCAACUGCUUGAAACUCAAAGGACUUGGCGGUGCUUUAUACCCACCUAGAGGAGCCUGUUCUAUAAUCGAUAAACCCCGAUCUACCUUACCACUUCUUGCUAAUUCAGCCUAUAUACCGCCAUCCUCAGCUAACCCUAAAAAGGAACAUUAGUAAGCACAAUCAUUAUAAUCUAAUAAAAAAGUUAGGUUAAGGUGUAGCCAAUGAAGUGGAGUGAAAUGGGCUACAUUUUCUGGUAACAGAACACUACGAAGUUCUCUCUGAAACACAGAGAAUGAAGGAGGAUUUAGAAGUAAGUUAAAAAUAGAGUGUUUAGCUG